Molecule: long non-coding RNA, 245 nt
Filed under: Homo sapiens (human)
Lineage: Eukaryota; Metazoa; Chordata; Mammalia; Primates; Hominidae
Description: HSALNT0316238
Source: RNAcentral
UAGAAAGCCACCACAGAUCUAGGCAUCUAAGCAGGAAUAGGAGAGGAAAGGCAACUGUAGCCACAUUAAUCACUUUUAUCAGGAAGAUAAAUGCUUUUCCCGAAUCUUUCAACAGGCUUUCAUUUUACAUUGGGCAUAUUUUUGUCAUAUAGCCUUCCCUAGCUGCAAGGGAGGCUUUUCAAACUUCUUUAUGGAAUUCAGCAAGAAAGUAAAGAGCAAUCCUGUUAUUUUUUCAAGCAAAAAAG